RNAcentral lists this long non-coding RNA (1119 nucleotides) under Vigna radiata. RNAcentral's name for it is "long non-coding RNA (VRAD_LNC017029)". Lineage: Eukaryota; Viridiplantae; Streptophyta; Magnoliopsida; Fabales; Fabaceae. The record is from RNAcentral.
ACACAACGGACACCCUCAAUGGUUGUUCCCUCACUUAUGACUAUUAAGUGCCUCUUGUAAAUUGAACCAUCGACUGUGGCAAUGUAUAUGAGAUAACAAACGAAAUGUUUCAGAAUGUGAGAAUUUAUUUGAAUUCAGGACUUUCUUGGUCAGUUAGUCCUAGAAAUAUAAACACCCAAAGAAUAACAUAUACCAUACAUUAAAUUAUGCAAUACAGUGUCAGAUUAGGAAAUGAUUGCCAUGGGACAAAGAGAAUCUAACUUCAAUCAUUCAGAGCAAGUAAACAGUUAAACACAUAUUUUAAGAAAUAUGAAUCUACAAGCACCGUCUCAAUGAAAAGAAAUAUCAAGUUUAGAUUCAUUGGCUCAUAUUUUAGGAAGCCAAGAGCAUUAUGGACGUAUUCGUGAUCUAAGUUUGGAUCCUUGUUCAUCAAAAGUCGUUGGAGUCCAUGCUUGUUCUCAUAGUGGAUCAUCUUCAUCUACUCCUUCUAAUGCUGAAUUACAAUUUUAGGUUAAUAAAUAUUUAAUAAAUGUUUACUUGGUUUGUUCCUUUUAAGAUUAACAUGUUAGAGAUCAUAUUUCUCACUUUUUAAAUAAAUUUUUCUGUUAUAGGUAUCUUCAGUGACUUCUGCUAAUGUUUAAUUACAAUCUGAGGUUAAUGAAUAUUUAAUAAAUAUUUACUUGGUUUGUUCCUUUUAAGACUAACAUGUUAGGUAUAUCAUAUUUCUCACUNUUUAAUUAAAUUUUUGUAUUAUAGGUAUCUUCAUUGAUAUCACAAGUCAGGGAAAUGAAGGCAAUGAUGACACUUUUGUUGCAAAAUCAUCAAGACUCAUUGUCUUCACAGUUUGUAGUAUUUCAACGAUCAUCAGUAAUAAUUGGUAAAUUUAUUUGUAUUGUUUCUUUUAUUAAAUAUAUUAUCAACUAACUAUUAUGUCAAGAGAGUGUACUAAACAAUGGAUGUAAUGAAGAAGAAGAAAAUUAGAUAUUGUUCAAAGUAAAAGGUUUUAUUUGAGAUGUUGGAUGUUAUUUGAGAUGGAUUACCANUGUAAAUGUUAUGCUUGCUAUGGUGUGAUCUUAUAGGUUUUCAAGUUAAUAAUAUACACAUCUUUUUAUAGUAGCA